CUUGCUUCUGCUAUUGCCAUACCAUCUCUGCUGCUCUGACAUAAGUCUCUAUUAUGGCUCUGGUCCUAGCCUGGACCUAGAGCCUCAACUGUGGCCCUGAACAACUGAAAUAGAUCCUGGGCAAACAUGGAUUUUUUUAAAACAUACUAAUUAAAACCCAAAAACAUUCCUACCCCAAAGAUCUGAAGAAUCAGAGGGAUAGGUCACUUACAAUGUUCUCUGCUGAUAUUACAUAAUUGUGCCAGUACGGUUUUCCAGGGAGUAAAGUGCAAGCUUUCUCUUUCAGGAGAGAAAAUGUUAACUGCAACCACGUGCCAAACAUGAAACAAGGGCUAAUGGUAGAUACAUACAGACAAGGAAUAGAGUUGAACAAUAAUCUGGUAGCUGCUGGGACAGUCAGUCAUGUUCCAAGCACUGCUGUGUACUAUAAUUUCUACUAGGCUCUGGUGAAGUCCUGAUUCAAAUCCAGAAGAGAACGAGCCCAACAAAGAACCUGUAAGAACUCUGCAUUGCUUUGGGUUAAGGUAGACAAAGAAAAAUCACAUAUAUAAGGGCUUGGACAAAUUGUGAAUUACAUUUAGUGGAGUCUGCUCUAUCACAGACUGUGUGGCUGCAGCAUUGCCCAAGCCUGGAGGAGCACAGCUAGUGCUGACAGCAGGGUCACAAGGCGCUGAUAUUUAUUAUGUAGUGAAACCUGCCUUAAGUGAGCACAGGAGGAAGCAGUGGAAAAGGCUGGUUGACAGCAAUGACCAUAAGCUGGGACAGAAUUAUACUUAACCCAGGGAAUAUUUUAUAGAAGCCUGUUCAGACACUGCCAGGCAUAUUGGGUGUAGGCAGCAACACCGGUUUUGAGGGACAGGUCUAAGGGCUGUGAGAGCAGCCUAACCAGUUUGCACUAAUAUUUGGAUCCUGGCAUUCAUGCAAGUGGGGGAGGAAGAUAAAUGCACGGGAAAAAGGGCUGGAGGGAUAUAGCCAAGGGGCUUCAUAAGAUGGAUUUCCUGUACAUCCUGUUAGUAGCUUUUGUGCUAGGAGGCUAGAUAAGGGCUAGUAGGAGGAACUUAUUUUUUCUCCAAAUAAUGUACCAAACAAACCUCUGAACAAAACCUGGUGUCUGAUAUCGGUAGUGGAACUGUCUGGGUAUAGAAAUCUUAAUAGCCAUAAAAUUAUAAGGAAAAUUUGGCAAAGUGAUCACUGCCAUUUCUUGGUAGUGUGCUUCUUUCUGUUUUUUGAUACCUCAACACAGCAUGCUACCAUUUUCCAGCCUUACCAUUGCUCCUUUUGUCAAACACUGUUAAUCCAGAGGUGUUCCUGUCCAUGUCAGCAAUGCUACUCUUACCUGAACAGGGAAUGAGACACCCCAGAUUUCCUUUUUACCUCACUCUGCCCUUUUCUCUCUUGGUGAUGCUCAUACUGCCUGCCAGUCCUUUGGACAUUGAAUAUCGUCACUUAUGCCUUAUGCCCUUUUCACUAUUUAUAUGUCCACAAAUUGUUGGGGUUUUGUUGUUGUUGUUUGUUGUUUUUUUGUUGUUGUUGUUUUGUUUUGUUUAAAAAAGAAGGCCUACACAACAGUGUUUCUUUUAAUUACAUGAUGAAGAAAGGAAAAGGAAUUGCUUAGCUACCAUUUUAUGAUGUUUAUACAUUUUCCUUGCAAAAAAAAAGCAAAAAAAACAAACUAAAACAAACCAAAAAAAAGCAACCCACAGUUGUCCUGUGAGCAUCACAGCUAGUAGAGCCUGUUUUCCUGCAGAUUUGUAUCCUGUUUCCUUCGCUUGCUCCCAUCACAAUAGUUCUGUCUCCCGCUGUAAACCCUCUGACAUCUGUCAAGCAAGAAAUAACACAUACCCUGGCUAAUCUGGAGCCAUGCAUAUGCAGAUGGGGCAGCUGGCUACUACCAAGCCACAUAACAAAUCACAUCUGAGUUCUUCCAGCCCUCUUUUUCAAUGGGUUUUUCAUGCUGGGUCUCUCUCCACUUCCCAGCUGCAGACUUCAAAAAUGCACUUAAUUAUUCUUAAGGCUUUUACUCUACUUUCAGAUUUGAGUUAAACUGCUCAACAGGCUAAAAAAUUAUUAAGAAGACUGACUGACAGACAAAUGGAGGGCCAAAAGCACAGAAGCCUCAUUUGCUUAGGAAACCAGCCUGAAAUAUUUCAUUAAAAUGUUCUAUUCAAGCCUAAUACAAUAUUUUGCUUUACUGUUUUGAGGCGCACACACACAAAAAAGAUAUGACAUUCAAAAUCCCAAAUCAGCUAUGGAGGAUGUCAUCUGUGCCCUUUUACCCAAAAGAACAGUCACCAGAUUAACCUUCCAGUAGGUUGGAGAUGCAGUGCUUUCCCCUGUACCAGGAACUGAACCUCAGCCUCUCCAGAGAACGUCAGCUCUUUUAGGCAGGGAUUCCCCCAGUUUGCCACAUUGGUGCUUUCACCCUGAAAUGACUGAGGGGACAUUGACCGAGGCAAGAACUGCUUCUUGGGUGAUGAUUCCUAUAACCAGAUCAGCAAAGCAUAGCCAGUAUCCAUAUCUGUUUCCAUUUUUGAUGCAAAAAAAAUGGGCAGCACUGGGCAGGGAAGUGUAGUCCAUGUCACAUACAUCGUUUGAGAGUGAAAGCCCACUUUCCUCCUUUGCCUGUUAGGACUUGGAAGUAAAAUCCCAGACAAGUGCCUAACUAUUCAAGUUGUUCCAUCCUUUAUACUGGGUCCCACAGCAUAUUUUUUCCUUUCUUUUUAGCCUGGUGAUUGAGCCAACUAUGGAGCUACAAGUUUUUGAUUGCUUUCUUGCUACGUCUUAAUGGGUAAUACAGUACUUCAUAUAAAGUCCAACAUAUUCAGCUGAGAUGAUUCCUCCAAUAAAUAUCUAGAGAACAUAUGAAGCCUGCAAGUAGAUUUUCUUUCAGAGUUGUUGAAAACAAUUUCACAGGAUCAACAAGAAGUUCAUUUCCGGAAGAAGUAAAUAAAUAAAUGAAUAAAGAUUAUCUCUUAGAGGCGUCAAGUAUAUGCCUUACAUCAUUAAACUUGUUUUUAUUUUCCCAAGGACACUGGAAUUAUUCAACAUCUUGAAACUCAGUUUUCACUAGCUUUCCCCUCAGAAACAUCUAUCAAUUUUAACUGAAACCUCAAAAAAUACAGUGUCUCUCUGGCAUGGAAAGUUCUACUGAUGUAAUGUUUGGCUGAGUUGCUUAGAUUAACCAGCUAGCACAAUACUGAGGUAUCAUACACAGAACAAUCAGCUUUACAUGCAUCCAGGCUGUUGGUAAAGCAAAAGCUCACUUGAAUCUUACAAUGUCUUUUGCAGAAAUUGAGGCUUAUUUGAUUUCCUACACAAAAUUCAUCCUGCCAGGAAAUAGUUCUCAGUUUUCAUACUGAAUAUGAAAAUUAUGGUCUCUGGGUGUCCAGGUUCCCUAACCCAAAUAUAAUAUCAAAAGGGAAAAAAAAAGACAAAAAUACAAUCAGAACUAAUAGUAGUUCUAUACUGCAAUUCCAUUAUAUCAAUGCAGAUAGGAUUUAAAACAUUAAGUUAAAAAUUGAUAGAAUCUGAAAAAAAAACAUCAUUGUUGUACUUAAGGUCAUUAAUCAUACACUUAAAAGUGCUUUGGCAUUCUUUUGCUACUUCUUUUUCCUAUC
Long non-coding RNA from Gallus gallus (chicken), 3617 nucleotides. Lineage: Eukaryota; Metazoa; Chordata; Aves; Galliformes; Phasianidae. The record is from Ensembl.